UCAUAGUGAUCCGGUGGUUACUGGAAUGGAAGGGCCAUCGCUCAACGGAUAAAAGGUACUCGGGGGAUAACAGGCUGAUACCGCCCAAGAGUUCAUAUCGACGGCGGUGUUUGGCACCUCGAUGUCGGCUCAUCACAUCCUGGGGCUGAAGUCGGUCCCAAGGGUAUGGCUGUUCGCCAUUUAAAGUGGUACGCGAGCUGGGUUCAGAACGUCGUGAGACAGUUCGGUCCCUAUCUGCCGUGGGCGUUGGAUGAUUGAAGGGAGUUGCUCCUAGUACGAGAGGACCGGAGUGAACGAACCUCUGGUGUUCGGGUUGUCACGCCAGUGGCACUGCCCGGUAGCUAAGUUCGGAAUCGAUAACCGCUGAAAGCAUCUAAGCGGGAAGCGAGCCCUGAGAUGAGUCAUCCCUGACCCCUUGAGGGUCCUAAAGGGCCGUUGGAGACCACAACGUUGAUAGGUGGGGUGUGUAAGCGCAGUGAUGUGUUGAGCUAACCCAUACUAAUUACCCGUGAGGCUUAACCAUACAACACCCAAGAAGUGUUCUG
This 545-nucleotide ribosomal RNA is filed under the name Aeromonas salmonicida subsp. salmonicida. Its description in RNAcentral is "bacterial LSU rRNA". It matches the Rfam family "Bacterial large subunit ribosomal RNA", at positions 2410 to 2925 of the family's 2925-position model. Lineage: Bacteria; Pseudomonadati; Pseudomonadota; Gammaproteobacteria; Aeromonadales; Aeromonadaceae. The record is from RNAcentral.